Molecule: long non-coding RNA, 1071 nt
Filed under: Cricetulus griseus (Chinese hamster)
Lineage: Eukaryota; Metazoa; Chordata; Mammalia; Rodentia; Cricetidae
Description: lncRNA (ENSCGRG00015039334.1)
Source: RNAcentral
AUUUCUUCUAGGCAGCAUGCUUUUGAGGUGUCCUUUCAUUUCUGGGGAAUACAGUCUCACAGCAUCAUUCCUGGCCCUCUGGCUCUUACGAGUUUUCCAGCUCCUCUUCUGACAUGUUCCCGGAACAACCUUAAAGAAAAUGAGGAGAGUCCAGAGACCUUCAAUCUUAGCAAUGCCACAUGUUCUGCUGAAGAUGAUGAUGAUAAGAGUUCUGCUUACCCAGCCAAGGCUGUGGACUGCUUCUGCACCAACCCUUUGGAGUGGUUCCUUGGUGCUAAGACCACAAGGAGUAGCACCACGGUAGCCAACAACUCUAGCUGUUUUUGCAGCAUCCUUUGUUUUCCUCUCAAGAGCUCCUUCUUGCAUCUCUCUUGGUCUAUUUCAGUUGAUUAAUUCAUUCCCUGAGCCCAUUCUGACUUAACAUUUAUUUUUGUUGUUUACAGGCAGUGGAACGGGCAUGCUAGGAUAGGAGCUUGUUGGAGGACAGUAUGAUGUGCUCAGAGUGCUAAGUGCAACGAUGUAUUAUUCUACAGCACAGGGCUUGCUUGAUGGAUGCAUUAGUUAUACAUUGUCGAAUGCAAAAAGAAAAACUAUAAUAUACAUGAUAAUAAUUGACACACCUAAAGUACUAGUCACAUACCAGAUCAUGUUCUCCGACCAUUUUACAUAAUUAUUUUAAAGUUAUUUUUAAUCUGUACAAUUUUCCCUUUGAUUCAAAGGAAAAAAACCAAAAUGGUUCAUGAAUAGACCCAAGAUUGCACAAUUACUAGAUGUGAUUAGUAUGAAGUCAUUCAUUGUAUUAUCAUUCAUAAUGGCAAACUGAGAUGCAAACGUGAUUGGUAUGAAGUCAUUCAUAUAUUAUUGAUAUGAAGUCAUAUGUUAUAUAUAAUUCAUUCAUUCCAUAUGUUAUCAUUCAUAAUGGCAAACUGAGAUGCAAAUGUGAUUGGUAUGAAGUCAUAUAUUAUAUAUAAUUCAUUCAUUCCAUAUGUUAUCAUUCAUAAUGGCAAAUUGAAGUGCAAACAUGAUUUGUAUGAAGUCAUUCAUAUAUAUAUAUAUAUACAUAUAUAUAAC